AGAGUUUGAUCCUGGCUCAGGAUGAACGCUGGCGGCGUGCCUAACACAUGCAAGUCGAGCGAUUCUCUUCGGAGAAGAGCGGCGGACGGGUGAGUAACGCGUGGGUAACCUGCCUCAUACACAUGGAUAACAUACCGAAAGGUAUGCUAAUACAAGAUGAUAUAAGAGAUUCGCAUGGAUUUCUUAUCAAAGCUCCGGCGGUAUGAGAUGGACCCGCGUCUGAUUAGCUAGUCGGUAAGGUAACGGCUUACCAAGGCAACGAUCAGUAGCCGACCUGAGAGGGUGAUCGGCCACAUUGGAACUGAGACACGGUCCAAACUCCUACGGGAGGCAGCAGUGGGGAAUAUUGCACAAUGGGCGAAAGCCUGAUGCAGCAACGCCGCGUGAGCGAUGAAGGCCUUCGGGUCGUAAAGCUCUGUCCUCAAGGAAGAUAAUGACGGUACUUGAGGAGGAAGCCCCGGCUAACUACGUGCCAGCAGCCGCGGUAAUACGUAGGGGGCUAGCGUUAUCCGGAUUUACUGGGCGUAAAGGGUGCGUAGGUGGUUUCUUAAGUCAGGAGUGAAAGGCUACGGCUUAACCGUAGUAAGCUCUUGAAACUGGGAAACUUGAGUGCAGGAGAGGAAAGUGGAAUUCCUAGUGUAGCGGUGAAAUGCGUAGAUAUUAGGAGGAACACCAGUAGCGAAGGCGGCUUUCUGGACUGUAACUGACACUGAGGCACGAAAGCGUGGGGAGCAAACAGGAUUAGAUACCCUGGUAGUCCACGCCGUAAACGAUGAGUACUAGGUGUCGGGGGUUACCCCCCUCGGUGCCGCAGCUAACGCAUUAAGUACUCCGCCUGGGGAGUACGCUCGCAAGAGUGAAACUCAAAUGAAUUGACGG
This 879-nucleotide ribosomal RNA is filed under the name uncultured bacterium. RNAcentral's name for it is "bacterial SSU rRNA". It matches the Rfam family "Bacterial small subunit ribosomal RNA", at positions 8 to 916 of the family's 1533-position model. The record is from RNAcentral.